RNAcentral lists this long non-coding RNA (527 nucleotides) under Salvia miltiorrhiza (redroot sage). Its description in RNAcentral is "long non-coding RNA (SMIL_LNC002404)". The record is from RNAcentral. Lineage: Eukaryota; Viridiplantae; Streptophyta; Magnoliopsida; Lamiales; Lamiaceae.
UUUUAAGAAAGCUGAAAAAGGUGGUGUAAAGGUGGUGUAAAAGACUAAAAGGGUAGUGUUAAUGUAUUGUGGUUACUUUUACUAAUCUUGCACUAACUAUUUGGCAUUAUUUUAUUAGGUGAAAAUUCAGAAAAUAAAUAUAUAAAUAAAAUGGAAAAUAAAUAAACUGGAAAUAAAUAAAUAAAUAAGUAAAUAAACUGGAAAUAAAUAAACUGGAAAAUAAAUAAACUGAAAAUUCAAAAAUAAAUAAAUAAAUAAACUUGAAAUUCAGAAAAUAAAUAAAUAAAUAAACUGAAAAUUCAGAAAAUAAAUAUAUAAAAAAAUGGAAAAUAAAUAAACUGAAAAUUCAGAAAAUAAAUAAAUAAACUGAGAAAUAAAUAAAUAAAUAAAUAAACUGGAAAUAAAUAAACUAAAAAUUCGAAAAUAAAUAAAUAAAUAAACUGAAAAUUGAGAAAAUAAAUAAAUAAACUGGAAAUAAAUAAAUAAAUAAGUAAAUAAACUGGAAAAUAAAUAAACUGAAAAUUCAA